GGGUCAGUAGCUGAGUCUGGCUCCAGCGCCCGCCCGUUAAGCGGGAGCACGCGGGUUCGAAUCCCGCCUGACCCU
This 75-nucleotide transfer RNA is filed under the name Myxococcales bacterium. RNAcentral's name for it is "tRNA-Asn". It matches the Rfam family "tRNA". Rfam says of the family: Transfer RNA (tRNA) molecules are approximately 80 nucleotides in length. Their secondary structure includes four short double-helical elements and three loops (D, anti-codon, and T loops). The record is from RNAcentral. Lineage: Bacteria; Pseudomonadati; Myxococcota; Myxococcia; Myxococcales.